GUUUCUUAUUCCGUAGCUCUAUGGUGAGUUCCUGUAUUUGCUUGUCUUUUUCAUCCAUGGUCUGCCGAGCUUCACGAGGAGCAACCACAAGAGGAUGAUUAUGUUCCUUUACAAAUUUUGUUAUCACCCAUUUCCCAGACUUAUCAUAUUUGACAUGAAUCAUUGCCUUACAGCCUUCUCGUGUGCUCGGCCGUGGCUUCCGAACUGCCCCAAAUUUACCUCGGAUGCUGACACAAUAUCCCUCUUUGUUGCAUCCAAGUCUUCGGGCAAGUAUUCUCCCAUCUUUUUCAGAACGACGACA
This 301-nucleotide unclassified non-coding RNA is filed under the name Hevea brasiliensis (rubber tree). The record is from RNAcentral. Lineage: Eukaryota; Viridiplantae; Streptophyta; Magnoliopsida; Malpighiales; Euphorbiaceae.